GCGCUUCCUCCUGAAGUGUUUGUUUUAUGCCGGUGUGGAGUUCUUGGCUCCCGUUGUGCGUACAGACAAAGGCGGUUUGAUGUACACCUCAACAUGGUUGAAGACUUGGACAGACAUACUGAUGAAGUAGACCUUGUAAAGUGUUCACAACAGUCAGGCUUUUUGUUUUGUAAGCAAAGAGCGGACAAGGGAACAGCCGGGAACACGACACGGGGCUAAAGAAACAUACUUGAAGAGGCAGCGCGGGAACACCUUGGCAAUAAUACUCUUGGUGUGAGUGUCGUGAGCUACGCAGUUCACAUUAAUGUGCUACAGCUUAGCGUAUCUACCAGUGUUUCUAACGGGACAAGAAACAAAAAAGCAAACAAAAUUAACAUCUCGUCAUAAGAGAAUCCUAUUAUAAUAAUCAAACAUAAUAAUUAAACAGUAAAAAGGCGUACAAUGAUCACACCAGAAAUCAACAGUCUACUAUCUAUGUUAAAAACUGCAAACCUGAGAGAAGAGAACCAAUCCAUCAGUCACGAGUCAGUUACCCCACGGCAGCCUGAGAGAGAGGGUAUGCACGGCGCAGCUCCUGCGUCCUGUGCCACGCAUGUCGUGGGGAAAAGUUUAGCUGAGGUGUUUUGGUGAGGACUGUGAAGUGUGUGUUCGGUAGGAAUAACGGUCUCUCAAAUGUUGGGUGAGAGCACACUGCUCUACCGCGUGCCUCUCCGUCUGCACCUCACCACACGGGCACAGCCGCUCUUCCAACGGUCCGGAAGUGACGGAUAGCCACACUCCACAUAGCAGACCACGUUAGGAGUUGUUUUCCUCACCCCUAGAAGCUGCUUCAGUGACCAGUUGUACAGCUUAACCACUGGUUUUAUGUCCGCACCCACCCAGGACUCACAGCCAUAUACCAGGGAUGACAAGAGCGCUGCAUCAAACACACGUCUUUUAACUAUGAAUGGAAUAUCAAUAUUUUUCUGUAAAAAUGACAAACUUUAGCACGUGACAUAAUUUGUUUUUAGCAUGUAGCUUGACAGCAGAAGACACAGAACCGUCACACGUGAAAGGUGUACCCAAAUACAUAUAACUAACACAG
Molecule: long non-coding RNA, 1084 nt
Organism: Scylla paramamosain (green mud crab)
Lineage: Eukaryota; Metazoa; Arthropoda; Malacostraca; Decapoda; Portunidae
Exons: 3
Source: RefSeq, a predicted model, not a curated record